UUUUCUUUCCUGACUCGGCCGCCGUCUUGAGUGUUUCUGGAGCUUGGCCCGGCUUCUGGUCCAAGGGUCCUGGCACGUGGUUGCUUGCGCCCCCCCAGAUGUGCACGCAUGCAGUCCCGCUCUCUGUCCACAAGGCGGCAGCAGUGCCGCCCUUCCCUCGCUCGGCAGCCGGCCUUCCCCCCCGGCGCCCAGCGGCGAGGGGCCGGGCGCUGUCGGGGGAGCUGCAGUACCGCGCUCUGUCCACGAGGCGGCAGCACUGCCGCCGGGCGCUGCCGGGGGGCGGGCGGAGAGCGGAGGCGCAAGGUGCCCGGGAGCCCCUGCCGCCGUUCUUACGGUUUCGGGGCACAGCUCGGUUUUCUAAAUCAAAAUGUUAUGGCAUUACUUUCAAAACCUUUGGAUGUCCCCUCAGAGUUUUAUAUUCCUGUAUAUGAUAAAGUAGAUAGAAAGGGCAUAUUUCAAAAUGAGUUUAUAAAUAAAUUCCAGUCAAUGUCUACCAAAAAUCAGAGGCCCUGAAACACAAGAAGCUGUGCUGCAGGACCUGGUGGACUUGGUGUGCCCCUGGUUGUACCUACUCAGGUGUUCCCCUGCUGUGCUGUUGGUGCUGCAUAUCAGAGCAGUAGGGAUGGACAAGUCCAGAGAGCUGGAGCCGAACCCCACUGAGCCGUUUUGGAGCAGGGCGUAACAAUUGCCUUGGGUAUUUGCUACUGGGACUAGUGAGAUCCUUUUCCUGAUCCUGAGGGGAGACCUUGAAACAGAACUGUGAGAAAUGAGGAUGCUGCAGCUGGAGCAAUGGGAAUGGAGAGUCCACGGUGGAUGUUGUCUGCCCAGGGCUAAGCUGCUGUUCCCUGAAUUGGGAUGUGGAAUGAGGAGGUCUCUGUUGGGAGAGUGGGAGAAAGUGACACACCUAACUGGUGUCGAUGGGCAGAGAAAUCUGAUAUUGGCAAUAUGUGUUCAUG
Pyrgilauda ruficollis (rufous-necked snowfinch) is the source of this 956-nucleotide long non-coding RNA. RefSeq lists it as uncharacterized. The transcript has 3 exons. The record is from RefSeq and is a predicted model, not a curated record. NCBI's taxonomy places the organism in Eukaryota, Metazoa, Chordata, Aves, Passeriformes, Passeridae.